UGGGGAAUAUUGCACAAUGGGCGCAAGCCUGAUGCAGCCAUGCCGCGUGUGUGAAGAAGGCCUUCGGGUUGUAAAGCACUUUCAGCGAGGAGGAAGGUGGUGAGCUUAAUACGCUCAUCAAUUGACGUUACUCGCAGAAGAAGCACCGGCUAACUCCGUGCCAGCAGCCGCGGUAAUACGGAGGGUGCAAGCGUUAAUCGGAAUUACUGGGCGUAAAGCGCACGCAGGCGGUUUGUUAAGUCAGAUGUGAAAUCCCCGGGCUCAACCUGGGAACUGCAUUUGAAACUGGCAAGCUAGAGUCUCGUAGAGGGGGGUAGAAUUCCAGGUGUAGCGGUGAAAUGCGUAGAGAUCUGGAGGAAUACCGGUGGCGAAGGCGGCCCCCUGGACGAAGACUGACGCUCAGGUGCGAAAGCGUGGGGAGCAAAACAGGAUUAGAUACCCUGGUAGUCCACGCUGUAAAACGAUGUCGAUUUUGGAGGUUGUGCCCUUGAGGCGUGGCUUCCGGAGCUAACGCGUUAAAUCGACCGCCUGGGGAGUACGGCCGCAAGGUUAAAACUCAAAGGAAUUGAC
Molecule: ribosomal RNA, 570 nt
Filed under: uncultured bacterium
Lineage: Bacteria
Description: partial 16S ribosomal RNA
Rfam family: Bacterial small subunit ribosomal RNA
Source: RNAcentral